This is a small nucleolar RNA of Oncorhynchus tshawytscha (Chinook salmon), 123 nucleotides long. The record is from Ensembl. Lineage: Eukaryota; Metazoa; Chordata; Actinopteri; Salmoniformes; Salmonidae.
CCUCCUUUCUUGGCAUGCUGUUGCCCUGUGUGUGUGUGAUGGAGCGAAACCAAGGACAGUGCUAUGUAUUCGGUGCCAGAAUGUUCCCGACUUCUGGUUCUAUGCUCAAUCGCUGGUACAUUC